RNAcentral lists this non-coding RNA (98 nucleotides) under Deinococcus puniceus. RNAcentral describes it as "TPP sequence". It matches the Rfam family "TPP riboswitch aptamer (THI element)". From Rfam's summary of the family: Vitamin B(1) in its active form thiamin pyrophosphate (TPP) is an essential coenzyme that is synthesised by coupling of pyrimidine and thiazole moieties in bacteria. The previously detected thiamin-regulatory element, thi box was extended, resulting in a new, highly conserved RNA secondary structure, the THI element, which is widely distributed in eubacteria and also occurs in some archaea. The record is from Rfam by way of RNAcentral. Lineage: Bacteria; Thermotogati; Deinococcota; Deinococci; Deinococcales; Deinococcaceae.
UGUCGUCACCGGGGGUGCCCUAAAACGUUAGGGCUGAGACAUACCCCAGGAACCUGAUCCGGGUCAUUCCGGCGGAGGGAGCGUGAUGCGCGGAACGC